This 497-nucleotide ribosomal RNA is filed under the name uncultured bacterium. RNAcentral's name for it is "partial 16S ribosomal RNA". It matches the Rfam family "Bacterial small subunit ribosomal RNA", at positions 28 to 507 of the family's 1533-position model. The record is from RNAcentral.
GAUGAACGCUGGCGGCGUGCCUAAUACAUGCAAGUCGAGCGAACAGACGAGGAGCUUGCUCCUCUGACGUUAGCGACGGACGGGUGAGUAACACGUUGAUAACCUACCUAUAAGACUGGGAUAACUUCGGGAAACCGGAGCUAAUACCGGAUAAUAUAUUGAACAGCAUGGUUCAAUAGUAAAAGACGGUUUUGCUGUCACUUAUAGAUGGAUCCGCGCCGCAUUAGCUAGUUGGUAAGGUAACGGCUUACCAAGGCAACGAUGCGUAGCCGACCUGAGGGGGUGAUCGGCCACACUGGAACUGAGACACGGACCAGACGCCUACGGGAGGCAGCAGUAGGGAAUCUUCCGCAAUGGGCGAAAGCUUGGCGGAGCAACGCCGCGCGAGUGACGAAGGUCUUCGGAUCGUAAAACUCUGUUAUGAGGGAAGAACAAAUGUGUAAGUAAAUAUGCACGUCUUGACGGUACCUAAUCAGAAAGCCACGGCUAACUACGUG